This 734-nucleotide ribosomal RNA is filed under the name uncultured archaeon. RNAcentral describes it as "bacterial SSU rRNA". It matches the Rfam family "Archaeal small subunit ribosomal RNA", at positions 741 to 1477 of the family's 1478-position model. The record is from RNAcentral.
GUAGUCCUGGCUGUAAACGCUGCCCACUUGGUGUUGCCCUUUCCUUGGGAAGGGGCAGUGCCGGAGCGAAGGUGUUAAGUGGGCUGCUUGGGGAGUAUGGUCGCAAGGCUGAAACUUAAAGGAAUUGGCGGGAGAGCACCGCAACGGGAGGAGCGUGCGGUUUAAUUGGAUUCAACGCCGGAAAACUCACCAGGGGAGACCAUGGUAUGAGUGUCAGCCUGAAGAGCUUACACGAUCACAUGGAGAGGUGGUGCAUGGCCGUCGUCAGCUCGUACCGUAGAGCGUUCACUUAAGUGUGAUAACGAGCGAGACCCUUGCCCAUAUUUGCCACCUUCCUCGAGAGAGGAAGAGCACUAUAUGGGGACCGCUAGCGUUAAGCUAGAGGAAGGAGAGGUCAACGGCAGGUCAGUAUGCCCCGAAUCCCCUGGGCAACACGCGCGCUACAAAGGACGGAACAAUGGGUUGCAACUUCGAAAGGAGGAGCUAAUCCCGAAAUCCGUCCGUAGUUCAGACUGAGGGCUGUAAUUCGCCCUCACGAAGCUGGAUUCCGUAGUAAUCGCGGAUCAACAGUCCGCGGUGAAUAUGCCCCUGCUCUUUGCACACACCGCCUGUCAAGCCAUCCGAGUUGGUUUUGGAUGAGGGCCCACUUUUUGGUGGGUUCGAAUCCAAGAUCGAUGAGGAGGGCUAAGUCAUAACAAGGUAUCCGUAGGGGAACCUGCGGCUGGAUCACCUCC